This 921-nucleotide ribosomal RNA is filed under the name Clostridioides difficile. RNAcentral describes it as "bacterial LSU rRNA". It matches the Rfam family "Bacterial large subunit ribosomal RNA", at positions 292 to 1217 of the family's 2925-position model. Lineage: Bacteria; Bacillati; Bacillota; Clostridia; Peptostreptococcales; Peptostreptococcaceae. The record is from RNAcentral.
UUGGGGUUGCGGACAUAUCAUAACGAAGAGGUAUCGUAAUUGAAGAGGUUUGGAAAGACCCACCACAGAAGGUAAUAGUCCUGUAUGUUAAACGAGAAGACUUUAGAUAUGAUCCAGAGUACCACGGGACACGUGAAACCCUGUGGGAAGCAGGAGGGACCACCCUCCAAGGCUAAAUACUACCUAGUGACCGAUAGCGUAUAGUACCGUGAGGGAAAGGUGAAAAGAACCCCGGGAGGGGAGUGAAAUAGAACCUGAAACCCUGCACUUACAAGCUGUGGAAGCACAUUUCUUGUGUGACCGCGUACUUUUUGUAGAACGGGCCAACGAGUUACGUUAAGUAGCAAGGUUAAGCACUUAAGGUGCGGAGCCGUAGCGAAAGCGAGUUUUAACUGAGCGUUCAGUUACUGGACGUAGACCCGAAACCGGGCGACCUACCCAUGAGCAGGAUGAAGCGAAAGUAAAAUUUCGUGGAGGUCCGAACCCACGAGCGUUGAAAAGCUCGGGGAUGACUUGUGGGUAGCGGUGAAAUUCCAAUCGAGCCCGGAGAUAGCUGGUUCUCCCCGAAAUAGCUUUAGGGCUAGCCUCAAGGUGAGAGAUACGGAGGUAGAGCACUGAAUGUCCUAGGGGGUAUUGCACCUACCGAAGACUAUCAAACUCCGAAUGCCGUCAUCUUAUACUUGGUAGUCAGACUGUGGGUGAUAAGAUUGAUAGUCGAAAGGGCAACAGCCCAGAUCGUCAGCUAAGGUCCCUAAAUGUAAGUUAAGUGGUAAAGGAUGUGGGAUUGCACAGACAACCAGGAUGUUGGCUUAGAAGCAGCCACUCAUUCAAAGAGUGCGUAAUAGCUCACUGGUCGAGUGAUCCUGCGCCGAAGAUUUCCGGGGCUAAAACUUACUACCGAAGCUACGGCAUCAGUAAUGA